AGUGAACGCUGGCGGUAGGCCUAACACAUGCAAGUCGAACGGCAGCACAGUAAGAGCUUGCUCUUACGGGUGGCGAGUGGCGGACGGGUGAGGAAUACAUCGGAAUCUACUUUUUCGUGGGGGAUAACGUAGGGAAACUUACGCUAAUACCGCAUACGACCUACGGGUGAAAGCAGGGGAUCUUCGGACCUUGCGCGAUUGAAUGAGCCGAUGUCGGAUUAGCUAGUUGGCGGGGUAAAGGCCCACCAAGGCGAUGAUCCGUAGCUGGUCUGAGAGGAUGAUCAGCCACACUGGAACUGAGACACGGUCCAGACUCCUACGGGAGGCAGCAGAGGGGAAUAUUGGACAAUGGGCGCAAGCCUGAUCCAGCCAUACCGCGUGGGUGAAGAAGGCCUUCGGGUUGUAAAGCCCUUUUGUUGGGAAAGAAAAGCAGCAGGUUAAUACCCCGCUGUUCUGACGGUACCCAAAGAAUAAGCACCGGCUAACUUCGUG
RNAcentral lists this ribosomal RNA (492 nucleotides) under uncultured bacterium. RNAcentral's name for it is "partial 16S ribosomal RNA". It matches the Rfam family "Bacterial small subunit ribosomal RNA", at positions 29 to 507 of the family's 1533-position model. The record is from RNAcentral.